UACAGAGGAGCCAAGCGUUGUCCGGAUUGACUGGGCGUAAAGUGCACGCAGGCGGUUGCGCGCGUGGGGUGUGAAAUCUGGCCGCUUAACGGCCAGGCGCCAUCCCAUACGGCGCGACUGGAGUGAUGCAGAGGUCGAUGGAAUUGCCGGUGUAGUGGUGAAAUGCGUAGAGAUCGGCAGGAACACCCAGGGGGAAACCAGUCGACUGGGCAUCUACUGACGCUGAGGUGCGAGAGCGUGGGGAGCGAACCGG
RNAcentral lists this ribosomal RNA (253 nucleotides) under uncultured bacterium. RNAcentral describes it as "partial 16S ribosomal RNA". It matches the Rfam family "Bacterial small subunit ribosomal RNA", at positions 524 to 776 of the family's 1533-position model. The record is from RNAcentral.